Oreochromis aureus is the source of this 312-nucleotide long non-coding RNA. RefSeq lists it as uncharacterized. NCBI's taxonomy places the organism in Eukaryota, Metazoa, Chordata, Actinopteri, Cichliformes, Cichlidae. The transcript has 3 exons. The record is from RefSeq and is a predicted model, not a curated record.
GGUAUCAAAGGUCCUUGCUAAGGAACUGAGGGCAGAUUGAACAUAGAUCUUCUAUUUAAAGGUGGGAAAAGGUGAAGACAAGCCACAAAAACAUGGGGAUAUGGACUCACUGUGUCUUAAAAGAGACUGCAGGACGCAGGUGGAGGGACAGGGAAAAUGGGAAAAGAGGUGUGUGAGUAUAAGCGAGGAAUCGAGAGAUGGAGAGCAGAGGGCUGAAGUUUAUGAAAAAGUAACGGUCACACAUUCAAUCAUUUCCUCGUAUCCAGUCAAAGUUACCCUUCUCCACACCGAUCCCAAAGGACUCCUCUUCCA